Molecule: long non-coding RNA, 249 nt
Filed under: Carica papaya (papaya)
Lineage: Eukaryota; Viridiplantae; Streptophyta; Magnoliopsida; Brassicales; Caricaceae
Description: long non-coding RNA (CPAP_LNC016534)
Source: RNAcentral
AGGAAAGGGAAGCGAUUUGCAGAAGAAUGAAAACAAUGGAAGGAAACCCAGAGAAUGUCUUCUAUUUCGAAACAAGAACGGAGACAAACUGGUAAAUCCCUUCUAUCGAUUUGGAACAGAGAAGGCCUAAAAGAAAACACAGAGGUUGAAUCUCUCUUUUUCUUACCACAGAAGCGAUUUGCAGAAGAAUGAAAACAAUGGAAGGAAAUCCAGAGAGUCUCUUCUUCUUAAUCUUGAAAACAAGAAUGG